CCUACGGGAGGCAGCAGUAAGGAAUAUUGGUCAAUGGGCGGAAGCCUGAACCAGCCAUGCCGCGUGCAGGAAGACGGCCCUACGGGUUGUAAACUGCUUUUGUACCGGAAUAAACCUCAUUAUGUAUAAUGAGCUGAAUGUACGGUAAGAAUAAGGAUCGGCUAACUCCGUGCCAGCAGCCGCGGUAAU
This 189-nucleotide ribosomal RNA is filed under the name uncultured Mucilaginibacter sp. RNAcentral's name for it is "partial 16S ribosomal RNA". It matches the Rfam family "Bacterial small subunit ribosomal RNA", at positions 338 to 524 of the family's 1533-position model. The record is from RNAcentral. Lineage: Bacteria; Pseudomonadati; Bacteroidota; Sphingobacteriia; Sphingobacteriales; Sphingobacteriaceae.